Long non-coding RNA from Perca flavescens (yellow perch), 231 nucleotides. RefSeq lists it as uncharacterized. NCBI's taxonomy places the organism in Eukaryota, Metazoa, Chordata, Actinopteri, Perciformes, Percidae. The transcript is spliced from 3 exons. The record is from RefSeq and is a predicted model, not a curated record.
CUGAGGUCCGUCUGCCGUAAACAGAGGGAGACUGUUCCCAUGAUGAAGAGGAGGGGCCACCGGUUUAAACGCCUUGAGGUCAAAGCUACAACUCAUCAGUUAAGAAAAUCACCUCCAGGAAAACAACAUUUAAAUAAAGAUACAACAGUGGCUCUGAUGCUGUCUGCUGGGCUGUGAUCGGGCGGCGGCUGGGGUGGAGGCUGGCUCAUAGUGGCUGCUGCAGCCUCGGGG